This 360-nucleotide long non-coding RNA is filed under the name Olea europaea (common olive). RNAcentral describes it as "long non-coding RNA (OEUR_LNC002224)". Lineage: Eukaryota; Viridiplantae; Streptophyta; Magnoliopsida; Lamiales; Oleaceae. The record is from RNAcentral.
GAAGAAAAUAUGAGGAAAAGUACCUUACUUGACAUGGUAUCAAAGCAUGUACACGAUCCGUGACCUCUUUCCCUAACCGGCCUCUAGCAAUGUUCGUAUGAACAUUUUCUCAAACAGAUGGAGGACCCCAACGUCUUCACUGACCUCGUCCAAACCCCAUCUAAUGCUGAUGCCAUACGAACCUCACCACCAAAAUUUCUGAAGCUUUAACCAAAACACACAUAUCAUCCCCAUCGAUUGAAAAUUCACCCCAGAUUGGUAUCAAAUUAAACGAUGUAAAUUAUGGCCUAUGAUCAUAGGUUAUGGAAAUGUAUAUUUCUGGAAAAGAUAAACUAGGUCACAUUAAUGGAGAUGCUUCUC